CAACUUUUUCUUUCCAACUCCGGGUCAUGUAACAAAAAUCAAGAGAACCGCACAAAAAAUCAUGGCAGUUAUCAGAUUAAAACAAGAAAGCUGCAACUCGCGAGAGCCGGUAAAUGGACACUCUGGAAUUCCGAGCGCUGAGUAGCAACACAAUGACGAUCCCGAAGUCACACACUGGACUGCAAAUGACAUAAUAAAUUCAACAAACAGCUCUGCAGAGACUGUCUUUUUGGAAGACUUUUCAAUUGGUACUACUAACAGCUCGAUCCGUUUGCAAGAAGACUGGAUUAUCAGAAGUAGCGAAGCCGUUCUUCCAAACGAAACUGAGAGAUGUUAUGAAGUUUUGAAUUCCUCUAUAACAUUUUCAGGUAAUAAUACAUGGAAAAUUGCAUCAUAUGUACUGUACUAGUACUGCAACUGUCCUGUUGGGUCGAUUCUCGUUUACUUUUAUAAUAAAUUUGGUAAUAACAAGACGGUAAAGUUACCUACCCCGGUAAACUAUUAAAGUCCAUUUUAAGUGACCUGUAGUCCUGUAGGGUAGAGUACGAUUUACACGAAUGCAGGUACGUACUAUGUGCCUGAGCACAAUAUAAUUGUAAAUUACAAUUGCUGAGUACACACAGUGACACAGUAAUUAAUUUAUGCAUUUCUAAAAAAAUGUGACAACUUCAAAUUCAAUAUUAUAUUACCUACAACGACUACAAGUAUAGCUGUGGACGGCCAUCCAGUUCAGACAUACAGCAUCUGCCACAAGCAUCCCGGGCGUGAAAAUGACACUUCCUUUGCUAAUGGAACUUCAAGUAAUUGGACAAAAAUGGAGAAUAAUGAAGAAUUUUCUGGAAUUGUGGUUCUCAAUUCAAACAAAUGCAGCCAGCACGAUAUUGUCGCAGAAAUUCGAGAUAUUUUACUACGCGCCAUUGGCCAUCCAGCUGCACUGAACAGUUCGCAUGUCAGAUAUUUGGGAGAAGUUGUUGGAGAGAUUGCUUCCCAAGCACAACAGCACUACCUAGUUGGUCAAUUCGAUACAGAAAAGAAUCAUUCUGUGUUCUUUCUCGAGGAAAAUGCCAAAGAGCUAAAAACCCGCCUUGUGACAGCAUUGGGGAUGGCGUUAGGAAAUCUUUCGAUUUCAUUAACAAGUGUCAGCGAUAAUUUUCAGAAUGAUAAAGAGGUUUGGAAUGAUUUCGAAAAGGGCAUUCAAGAUGCAUUCGUUUUGAAUAAGUCCCUCAACGAAUCGUUAUACACGGCUCAUAUUGUCGCCACACAAAUUCGCCUACAAAAAAUGGCUACAGAAAAUUCAUGCCGCUUAAAUAACGUGCUGCAAGAACAAGAGUUUCUCGAAGCUAUGGGUAAAGCCAUAAUUACGGUCUUGCAAGCCGGCGAGGAAAGCCAUAGUGAAGAACAGAUCUUUCGAUUAUUGUCACACUGGAUAACAUCGUACGUAAAAAUUGCUUUAAUCGUGGGUGACGUCUACGAUCCAUUACUCGACGAGGAUAUCGUGAAAGUGGCUAAUGAUACUGCCAGAAUUGUGCAACACUCGGUCUUCCGCAUCACUUCUCGCAAAAUUCUUAAUGAACCAAAAACGCUUGAGUUGGAAAAUGCCAGCCGACUUUACGCAAAAAACCUACUGACCGGCAGAGUUAUCAAUUUGUCGAUUCUGACGUUGCUUCACAUUUCGCCGUCAGUAAUUGGCUACUGGAACAAGGAGAGCUUUUCAGAGUCUCUUCCUUCGGAUUGGUUAGCACUUACUGACCCAAACUUGAACAAAUUGGCAGAACUACAAACCCCAACGUAAUUCGCAGUAAGAUUCGUGCAUGAACUGCCUUGGAACACUCUAUCAGGCUAUACAUCGCUUUUUUGCAAACUUUUGACACGCUUUGAAUUUAGUGUUUCUAUAUUGCUGGCAAUACGUAAAUUUUUACUGAUAAAAUGCAAAGUCACAAACAAAGUUUACAGGCAGUUUGUUAAAUUACACAGACGGCAACGCUUGUGACCUUUAUUAGUGCAUCCCACUGGAAAGCAGUUGGAGGCUAGCACAAUCUAAUUUUAUUUGGCAAGUUUGCCUUAACUAAAAUGCAAUUAGCUGGGUUGAAUUAUUCCAGUUACUUUUUGGUCGCUAUUACCCGGUUGGCGGUAAUCAUUCUAAUCGGUGGACUUUUUCGGGAAGUACACACUGUUGGCUGGUCUGACAGAUACAACGGUAAGUUUAUUUUAGCUGUGAGUUUCACAGAGUGCCUUAUAUCAUGAACUUGACUUUAAACAGUCCUAUCUGUAAUAAAAACGAGUCCCACAGGUAAAAACAAAAUAAAUAUCACCUCACAAUUUGGACGAAUGAGUGCGGUAGGUCUACGAGUCCUACCACCUCCUACCUAAACAUACUGUAUUACUGUAUUAAAUUUUCUGUUUUAUAUAAAUAACUACAUACUCUAAUGUUCUUAUGAAUAGCUGUGUAAGUGCUAAUUUUUUUGACAUCGAGGAACAGCACUGAUUUUGAUCAAGCAGCUCUUACAAAAGCAAAUUGUUAAAUCAACUUGUUAAUAUAGUACUUCGUUUUUGGAUUGCAAAGACAAAAGCGUACAGCGAAGUGUUGCUAUAGAGUACAGCUAUGUACAGUGAUUUUGAAGCUAUAAACAGGCAGAUAAAAAGUUCAUACAUUUAAAAAAAUGUAAUUUAUACUGUAAUAUUAUUGCUUCCUUCUUUGCAGUUGAUCCCAGAAGGUCAGCACUGGUAUGGACUACUGGUCACAAUAUUUCUGUAGUCGUCUGCCCAGCUGAUGCCAGUACUUCCACUGCCGCAACAAGCGAUCAAGAUGAUGGCGCACGAACUGCGAGGGACUACAACAUCGCCUUUGAC
This is an RNA transcript of Paramacrobiotus metropolitanus, 2850 nucleotides long. RefSeq lists it as uncharacterized. The transcript has 12 exons. The record is from RefSeq and is a predicted model, not a curated record. NCBI's taxonomy places the organism in Eukaryota, Metazoa, Tardigrada, Eutardigrada, Parachela, Macrobiotidae.